CUAAGACCCGUGUGCAGCAGCGGCGGCGGCGGUAGAGGCGGCGGCGGCGGCGGCAGCGGGCUCGGAGGCAGCGGUUGGGCUCGCGGCGAGCGGACGGGGUCGAGUCAGUGCGUUCGCGCGAGUUGGAAUCGAAGCCUCUUAAAAUGGCAGAUGACUUGGACUUCGAGACAGGAGAUGCAGGGGCCUCAGCCACCUUCCCAAUGCAGUGCUCAGCAUUACGUAAGAAUGGCUUUGUGGUGCUCAAAGGCCGGCCAUGUAAGAUCGUCGAGAUGUCUACUUCGAAGACUGGCAAGCACGGCCACGCCAAGGUUAGAAUUUCACCUCCGCAUCUUGCCUUCCCCAUGCCUCCAGUAUCUUUGGCGCUCCCAGCAGCAAGCUGCCAACAGUGCUGACUUUCCUUUAAUUCUGCUUUUACUGUCUGAUUGUUUUUGUUUAGCGCUCAGCCUUCAUACUCAUUCAGACAACUACACCUGCUCCCCAGUCUUCAGCCUCUUCUGUGGUUACCCUUCUGUCCCCGCAUCAUUCUCUGGCAGUCCCUCCGUUUCUCCAGCUUUGUGCCAAUCUCUUCAAUUCAUAGGCCUUUAUGCUCUAGCUAUUCAGUUGCUCCUU
RNAcentral lists this small RNA (609 nucleotides) under Pan troglodytes (chimpanzee). RNAcentral describes it as "retained intron". Lineage: Eukaryota; Metazoa; Chordata; Mammalia; Primates; Hominidae. The record is from RNAcentral.